Molecule: ribosomal RNA, 253 nt
Filed under: uncultured bacterium
Lineage: Bacteria
Description: partial 16S ribosomal RNA
Rfam family: Bacterial small subunit ribosomal RNA
Source: RNAcentral
CACGUAGGAGGCGAGCGUUGUCCGGAAUCAUUGGGCGUAAAGAGCGCGCAGGCGGCUUGGCAAGUCGGGUGUGAAAUCCCGGGGCUCAACCCCGUGACUGCAUCCGAUACUGUCAGGCUAGAGGUAGGUAGGGGAGAUCGGAAUUCCUGGUGUAGCGGUGAAAUGCGCAGAUAUCAGGAGGAACACCGGUGGCGAAGGCGGCUCUCUGGACGGUGACUGACGCUGAGACGCGAAAGCGUGGGGAGCAAACAGG